GGGUCAGUAGGUUGGUCGUGCCACCGGUACGUACUGGUCUCACUGAUUCCUCCUUCCUGAAGAACCGUAAUGCCAUUAAUUUGGUGUUGCGGGGAAACAGGACUGUUACUUUGAAAAAAUUAGAGUGUUUAAAGCAAGCUAACGCUUGAAUAAAUUAGCAUGGAAUAAUGAAAUAGGACGAUCGAUCCUAUUUUGUUGGUUUCUAGGAUUGACGCA
RNAcentral lists this ribosomal RNA (216 nucleotides) under Glomeromycotina sp. RNAcentral's name for it is "partial small subunit ribosomal RNA". The stretch from base 40 to 216 matches the Rfam family "Eukaryotic small subunit ribosomal RNA", at positions 686 to 864 of the family's 1831-position model. The record is from RNAcentral. Lineage: Eukaryota; Fungi; Glomeromycota.